RNAcentral lists this ribosomal RNA (253 nucleotides) under uncultured bacterium. RNAcentral describes it as "partial 16S ribosomal RNA". It matches the Rfam family "Bacterial small subunit ribosomal RNA", at positions 524 to 776 of the family's 1533-position model. The record is from RNAcentral.
UACAGAGGUCUCAAGCGUUGUUCGGAUUCAUUGGGCGUAAAGGGUGCGUAGGCGGCGCGGUAAGUCGGGUGUGAAAUCUUGGAGCUUAACUCCGAAACUGCAUUCGAUACUGCCGUGCUUGAGGACUGGAGAGGAGACUGGAAUUCCCGGUGUAGCGGUGGAAUGCGUAGAGAUCGGGAAGAACAUCAGUGGCGAAGGCGGUCUGCUGGGCCGUUGCUGACGCUGAGGCGCGACAGCGUGGGGAGCAAACAGG